UCAAGACAGACUAUUACGCUGCUAAAAACAGUAUGUUUAUGAUUUUGUUACGAUAUUUCCUGAAUAUUCAGAAAAAUUGGGAGACCAGGGGAUUGCAUGAAUUUUCGGGAGACCCCCAGGAAAAUCUGGAGAGUUGGAAUGUCUGAAAUCUACUGUGGUGUUGCUGGCAUGCUAGGAGAGGUUCUUAAAGUUUCUGGUGAUUGGUAUAGGAAUAAAAACAUUUUGCCUUUAGAGAG
Non-coding RNA from Paramuricea clavata, 236 nucleotides. The record is from the annotation of a GenBank genome assembly. NCBI's taxonomy places the organism in Eukaryota, Metazoa, Cnidaria, Anthozoa, Malacalcyonacea, Plexauridae.